This 489-nucleotide long non-coding RNA is filed under the name Olea europaea subsp. europaea. The record is from RNAcentral. Lineage: Eukaryota; Viridiplantae; Streptophyta; Magnoliopsida; Lamiales; Oleaceae.
AAGUCCAAACUCUUCGGGUUACUGGGUUGCAAGGUUGAGUUCCUCAAGGACAAGCCAGCUGCUACUUUUGGUGCCCUUCUAUAUAUUGCAAGUUCAAGUACUCAUCGAAUCACCUUUAUCAGUAUAAUCUUUGUUAAGUCUUGAUAACGAUAAAUAAAAUAACGAGUAAGGAUUACUUCACAAGCACAAUUGACUACCACAUCUCCUAUUUAUGGCAAUGGAGAAUCUAACUUGAAUAAUAUCGUAUUAAUUUUUUUCCUCAAAAUAAGUUGUGUACCAAAAAAUUAAUUGAAUAUAUAAAUAUAUUAAAGUUAAUUCUUUCAGUACACAAAUCAUUUAUUUUCAUAACAAUUUAAAAGUCGUGUAGCUUUAUCUUUGUGUAAGUACUAUUAACAUGAUGCACAGUGACGGAGUUAGGAAUGAUGUCUAGUGCUGAUGGAAUGUAAUCAAAGCUGGACUUUGAGUUUUCGACCAUAAGUUUAAUCCGGA